RNAcentral lists this ribosomal RNA (322 nucleotides) under uncultured Veillonellaceae bacterium. Its description in RNAcentral is "partial 16S ribosomal RNA". Lineage: Bacteria; Bacillati; Bacillota; Negativicutes; Veillonellales; Veillonellaceae. The record is from RNAcentral.
GGAGUAUGGACCGUCUCUCAGUUCCAUUGUGACCGUUCAUCCUCUCAGACCGGUUACCGAUCGUCGCCUUGGUAAGCCUUUACCUCACCAACAAGCUAAUCGGACGCAGGCUCCUCGCAAAGCGAUAAAUCUUUAAUAACUCCUUCAUGCGAAAAAAUCAUAACAUUCGGUAUUAGCAGUCCUUUCGAACUGUUGUCCCCAUCUUUGCGGCAGAUUACCUACGCGUUACUCACCCGUUUGCCACUAAACCCAAAAGGUUCCGUUCGACUUGCAUGUGUUAAGCACGCCGCCAGCGUUCGUCCUGAGCCAUGAUCAAACUACU